UGUUUGAGAAAUUGAAGUUUUUGCAUUUUUUAGGUAUUUGUAUUUCGCGCCACGCUAUACCAUUGGAUAUUGGUGAGGCGUAACAUUAAUAUGAUUAUUUGUACAUAACCAUGGGAAUUAAGUUUCACUUUUAAUUCUUGUAAGUAGGCAGUAUUUCCCUCAUAUGACGUGGCUGGCUUAUGUAAAGUCUGUGCUGGCUAGAGUAUAAAUACCUGUGCACUACAAGUUUGAGCAGGUGAUCUCCUUAUUGUCAUUGCUUCAGUGGACAACAUCAAGAAGCUCCUACAACACCUUGAAGAAAAUAACACCAUUUGCAGCUAAAUCAAGAUGGUAAUCUGGCAGUUCACCGUUGGAGAAAGAUCAAUUCAAUAUUCAUGAAUUUUCAGGGAGUUAUUUAGAUUUUCUGAAUUUGCUUAAACUAAUGUAAAAAACGAAAACUCUUCAAGUGAAAAUUAUAUAGUUGAUGAUGUACUGAGUUACACUAAUGUUUAUAUGACUCUUCUUCUCUCCUUUUUGAGUGUCUCUCACUCACCUCUGGCCGAAAGGGAGCGAACAGGCUGUAUGUUGCCUUAUAACAUACAAACCAAAACUGAUGGGUGAUGCCAUCGACCUAAUCCGUGGGUCAGUGACGCGGCCCAUGGUUAAUAACAGUCAAUGCUAAUCGUGGGUCAGUGACGCGGUCCAUGUCCAGAACAGUCAGCUUUCUCUUCUCUUCCGUCUUCUCAUAUAAAUUACAUACGUUUUGUGCACUUAUUGCAAGAAAUUGUAUAUCUAUUCAUAAAGUAGGCCAUUACCUUGUAUUUGUAAAAUCAAGUAACAUUCUACAAUUUCAUUUAAUUGAUAAGACAUCAAAUGUUUCCUUUAUAUACAUUUUAUGUAUGGAAACAUUUGAGGGCAAAAGUCAAUUACUAACUAUGAAUAAUUUGAGUAAACUAACUUAUGAAUAAUUUCCCCAGAAUUAUGAAGUGACAGAUGGUGUUUCCCCUGCAGCAAAGGACAAUGUGGAUGGAGAUUUUACAGAUCUCAUCAAA
This is a long non-coding RNA of Salmo salar (Atlantic salmon), 1031 nucleotides long. RefSeq lists it as uncharacterized. NCBI's taxonomy places the organism in Eukaryota, Metazoa, Chordata, Actinopteri, Salmoniformes, Salmonidae. The record is from RefSeq and is a predicted model, not a curated record.